UUACCUCUGAGAUUAGGUUACAAGAAGACUACAGCUUUCUCUCGACCCCUCUCUGUCUCCUUCCGUCUCUCUCUCCACCACCCGACACGUGGCGAGCUGCCUGCGGAGAGGCCCGUGUGGCAAGGAGCCGAGGAUGCCUUCCGCGAGAAGCCUGCAAGGACCUGAGCUUGGCCAACAGCUACGGGCCUGAGCCCCAAAGGCCUCCCUGCGUCCAACCCAACACGGCCCGGGUUGUCACUUUGAUUGCCACCGGGGAGACCCUGAGUCAGAGGAUCACUAAGCUGUGCCUGGAUCCCUGACCCACAGAAAGAGUGAGGCCAGACGUGUUUGUUGUCCUAAACACCUCAGUUUGGGGUUAUUUGUUAUGCGGCAAUAGAAAUGCGAACGCUAGCGCUCACGUCCAGAUGUCCAGAUCGGGUGGCUAGGAGCCCGUGUGACCCAAAGGAGCGGGCUCCCCUCUCACCUCUUGCCACACCCCCAGCGUCACUCCUGGGCCAUCGCUUUUUGGUCAAACCUCAUUCUUAGGUGUUUUUGUGCCUUCGUACAAGCAAUUUUUUUCUGCCUGAAACAACCCGUGUCUGUCCUGCAGGUAAAGUCCUGCUCACGCCCUGACAUCUGGCGUGGACGCCCUCUGGAAGGCCUCCGGUCCAGGGUUCAGCCGGCGCAGCUCCCACCCCUUGCCCUGGGGCCCCCCGGCCCUGGGCCUCUGCCUGUGGCCGCACAGCCUGGACGGCGGGCGCUUCUCUUCGUCUUGCAGCCCCUGCUGCCCGCACAGCACAGGGACGGACGCCAGGCCCAGGCACGGUCCGUGGCUGUUUUGUGGAGCCAAGGAGCCUAGCAGGAGGCCGUCGGCGGCCAGUCGCGCUCCCAGCUCGGGCAGGAAUCAGAUCCUCGGGCUGCGCCGCGUGUAGCCCAAGACUCCUGGACUAAUCGGCCCCGUCGGCACGUCUAAGGCCACGGUGCCUCCCAGCGCUUCAGCCCUCAGGCAUCACCUUCCUUCCCUGCAUUUUGAGGGAAAACUAGAGAGGAACCAUGAAGGCAUCCCUGGGGCCAACCUGAGAGCGUGCUGACUGUGGGUGUCAGGUCGCCGUCCAGGCCCUGAAGCUCGCGAGCACCUGGGUGCGGAGCAGCUGCAAGCCUGUCCACCCAGCGCCGUGUUGGGGCGAUUGCGCGUCCUUGGUCGGAUCGUCCCUGCUCCUCCGAGGCUCUCCCCCUGGCCUUGGACUCCCCAGGAACGGCUUCCCACGCGGGCUCCGGACGUGCUCUUGCCGCCCCGUCCCCGCUGUCCGCAGGGAGGCUGAAGAGUCCGUCUGGCCCAUCCGCCCAAGCCCUGCGGCCGCCCCGGGCCAGGUGGGUCUGGGCGCAGCCUCGUCCCGCCUCCUGCCUACCUGCCGGCCGAACUCUGGUCACGCUAGAGCCUCCGUGGCCGGGGAGGCGCCGCAGCCCCUCCACCGAGCCCGGGACCACCUGGCCCGGGGAACCCAGCUGUUCCUGCAGAUUCUGUUGCGCUCUCGCCUCCUCCGAGGACCCCUUGACGUCUCUAACCAAACCCAAGCACGGACCGGAGCUUCAGGGCUCCACGCGUCGCCCUGUCACCGUCGCUUGGGCGGGGAUCUGACCCGGGUCUCUCGGUUUGCUUCCCCACGGGCAGGGAGGAGAGGGGGAGCGGACGCCAGUGCCCUGGAGGGCCCGUGGGGAGGGGCAGGCAUGAGGACUGAAUGGAACCCAAAGGGGCGCAGGAAGACGACCUGAAGGUCCCACAACAGGAUGUCGGAGUUUCUUAGGAAAUCUGCCGAGUGCACAGCAUUCCCAGUUGCUGUCCCUGCCCUGCCCCAGGCCCACCUCUGCCCCCGUCCCACUCCCGGGGCUCUCCUGCCCCAGCACUCCUUCCCCCUGGGCAGGGGUGCUCCCUUGGGCACGCGCUCUGGGGCUCCUGCGUGUGCACCCUAGCCCAGCACCGCCCUGCACCCUGACCCCCGGCAGCCCGGCCGCUGCCUCAGAGCUUCACCCUUCCCCGCGGGGGUGCAGGGGAGCGGGGCCCACGUCAUCCUGGCUGCUGCUUCGGGCCUGCGGAGGGAGCUUCGCCUUCCUCCCAGUGUGGACGGCGUGUCAGUCGGCCUGCAGUGAGCAUGAUCCAUUGUCCCCUCGUGUCCCCCGGGGCCCCCACCCUUCCUGGGGGGUCAUCUCUAGUCCCACGUCUGGGGCCGCCCGGUGGCUUCAUGUCCCAGCCCCUGUUCCUUCCAGGGCUCAGGCAGCCUGACAGCCCUCGGGGCAGCCGUUCUUCCCACAUUUACUGCCUCGGAGAGACGGAGACAGGGACGGGGGCUGGGGGGAGAGGGGCAAGGCGGUGCCCUCACCCGGAGCUUGUCGCCCUCUGGGGCUCCUUCCAGGCACCUGCGCGGCUGGGUGAGCGGCCUUGGCCGUGGCUGUCGGGGGGCUGGGAAUCCGUCUUCUCCGCACUAAUUUUUGCCAAGAGGCAGGAGUUUGGAAGAACAUGAAUCUGCUUCCUUCCAGCUUUGCCUACACGGAUGACAGUAUUAUCACCCUCGGGCUUUUAAACCGAAAGUCUGCACGGAGAUCACGGAGUCCGGGAGGGCUCCUGAGUCAUCGGAGCUAAUUGCCUUCUUUCUUCCCUGGGUCCUCGGUGUCUGUGAGUCAGCGGCUGGAGCACGGAGCCUCGGGAGGCCUGAGGGACGGCGUGUGCCCUGUGGAGCCCGCACACGGGAAGGUGCCUCGCAGACCACAGGACGUGCAGGGGGGCAUCCCCGGGAGGCUGCGGGGCGUCGGGGCAGAGCUCGGGUCCUCGGGGAGACCCGGAGACGUGCUGGGGAGCAGGGCUGGGGGUGCUGCUCCCGGGAGCCCCACUCCGGGCCGCCUCCCAGGCUUUCCCACUAGGGGGCAGGCAGAGGCAGGAGAAGAGUGAGGUGCUGGCCCGCGGCCCCGAGCACCCAGGCUCCCACCCAACACCAAGCCGACAAGACCAGGCCCCUCUUCCUGCCCUCUUCGGCCUGUGACAUCGCAGACCACGCGGCCACGUAACCACAGUGGAUGUAAUGAGAGAGAGAGAGCGCGAGAUCCCUGGUUUUCUUAUUUCACUCACCGUUUGUGGGUUUUCUAUUCGUGCCUCACGUGCCCGUUCAUUGUCGGGAACAGUCAAGAUGUACCUGAACUCCACCACUUUAUAAAAUGAGGAGGAGGGGAGGGGCGCCCUGGGGGUCCCCGGGUCACCGAGGCUCCAGUCCUCAGGCCCAGUCGCCGCUGCCCCCAUCUCCCGCCCAGCGCUCCUCUGUGUACCAACCCAGCAGUUCGAGGGAAACUCAUUUUCUGGAUGAUUCCCACAUGCCUUGAAAAGUCAUUUCCGCCUCAGAAGCUCCAGGUGAUGGGGACCCUUGAUUGGUGUAAAUGUUUUCUAAUCCCCAAGGAUUAGAGAAAAGCAGCACAGCUUUCCUUCUACGCAGGUCAUCCUCUAAUCAAAGUUACGGGGCCCAGACACCGGAGCCUAAAGUAACUAAAGUCUUUGUGUGGAAAGGAGAGUCGCUUCAUACGAAGCCGGAGGGUUGGAAGGUCGCAUCCUCCUGCCUGCAGAGAAUGUCCGACCCGCAGCCCCUCGGUGCUUGAGGACCUUAAUAGAAGGCUUUGCUUUAACGAAGUUAAAGACUCUUUAAUGGUUUGCAUCUUUAAUUGCAAUGAGAACAGAGCAGCCGUAUGGUGUGAGCCAGUGAGACCGGGCUGAAAAGGAAUGGUUUGGUUUUUCUAAUGGAAUCAGGAUUCCUAUGCAAACCUCUUUUAUGCCGCAGCCUUUUUUGAAUGCCGCCCCUGAUUUCAUUCCAGUAGUAAUCACAGCUGAGCACUAUCUUUUAAAGAUAAAGCCUGAUGGCGUUACUUUAAUGGUCUGCAAGACGCUCUCCAGAAUCACCUAAAAAUAUGCAUCUUCAACGAUACCAUAGAUUAGUUCAUCUAAAAUUGUUUGGUCUCCAAUUAAAAACAUAAACAGGCUUGGAUAUAUUUGGACACAGAUGUUGCCGGAGUUUCCAGAUUCCAUUGUUUAAAGGUAUUCCAUAAAUAUGACAAAAAGCGCGGAGACGGCGCCCGUCUGAUUGGGUAUUCAGGCCGACAAAGCGCGUAAUCGCCGGGCCGGAGCCGCCGAGCAGCCCUCAUUCAUCUGAAUUCCCUUUCGCGGAUCAACAAGGCUUGACCUCGAUUUCUUAAACGCAAGCGAGAGCCGUUGAUGCGAUCCGAGCAAACCAGUCGUUCCGACGCCCCGACGAGUCUGGAAUCAGAACUGAUGGACAGAAGCUGGAGGGAGUAACGGGCUCCGGGCAGUCGUGCUGGGCUCGGAGGCCACGGCUACCGGCCGAGCUCAACUUCGGCCUUGUUCCCAGGGACGGUCAGUUCGCCAGCGGGGUCCUGCGGGGAGGGCCGCCCCGGCUCCGCUCCAGCGUCCCCGGCCCUCUCCGCGGCCACCGCGCCCGGGCCUUCCUCGCCUGUGUCCCCAGCAGGGCCUCCCUUCUCUUCCUGACAAAGCACUUUCAGUCAACUCUUGGAUUUCUUCACGGCUGAUUAAACCGUCUGUGUGCAUCCAGGACCCUUCUCCUCUUUCUGUGUCCGGCCGCUGACCUUUCUGCGAGUUCACUGUCGGGGGACAGAGCUCGCCCCCGCACCCCCCGACUACUUGCUAGCAGCCCUGGUGACCAUGUGACCCCGGGAGGGGUGCAGGCUGUUGAAAUAUUAGUGCCUCUUCUAAGCAUAUGACUUUUCGCCCGGGGGGUUUUCUGAGUGAGGCAGGGGCACGGGGAAAGCGGCCACCCUGCCAGCCCGCGAGUUACACCCACCAGCACCCUCCCCCGCUGUGGGUGGUUGUGCCGUUAGCCCCCACCGGCUCCCCGUGGGGGGUGAGCCCAGCGAGGAGGAGGGAUGGUGGCGCGGCCAGGAAACGGGAAGGACACAGGAAAACGCAGCACGAGGAUUUGUGGAGGGCCCAAGGACCAGUCCCUCCAGCCGG
Canis lupus familiaris (dog) is the source of this 5002-nucleotide long non-coding RNA. RefSeq lists it as uncharacterized. The transcript has 4 exons. Lineage: Eukaryota; Metazoa; Chordata; Mammalia; Carnivora; Canidae. The record is from RefSeq and is a predicted model, not a curated record.